Molecule: ribosomal RNA, 740 nt
Filed under: uncultured bacterium
Lineage: Bacteria
Description: bacterial SSU rRNA
Rfam family: Bacterial small subunit ribosomal RNA
Source: RNAcentral
UGCAGCGACGCCGCGUGAGGGAUGACAGGCCUUCGGGUUGUAAACCUCUUUCAGUAGGGAAGAAGCGAAAGUGACGGUACCUGCAGAAGAAGCGCCGGCUAACUACGUGCCAGCAGCCGCGGUAAUACGUAGGGCGCAAGCGUUAUCCGGAAUUAUUGGGCGUAAAGAGCUCGUAGGCGGUUUGUCGCGUCUGCCGUGAAAGUCCGGGGCUCAACUCCGGAUCUGCGGUGGGUACGGGCAGGCUAGAGUGAUGUAGGGGAGACUGGAAUUCCUGGUGUAGCGGUGAAAUGCGCAGAUAUCAGGAGGAACACCGAUGGCGAAGGCAGGUCUCUGGGCAUUAACUGACGCUGAGGAGCGAAAGCAUGGGGAGCGAACAGGAUUAGAUACCCUGGUAGUCCAUGCCGUAAACGUUGGGCACUAGGUGUGGGGGACAUUCCACGUUUUCCGCGCCGUAGCUAACGCAUUAAGUGCCCCGCCUGGGGAGUACGGCCGCAAGGCUAAAACUCAAAGGAAUUGACGGGGGCCCGCACAAGCGGCGGAGCAUGCGGAUUAAUUCGAUGCAACGCGAAGAACCUUACCAAGGCUUGACAUGGACCGGACCGCCGCAGAGAUGUGGUUUCUCCUUUUGGGGCCGGUUCACAGGUGGUGCAUGGUUGUCGUCAGCUCGUGUCGUGAGAUGUUGGGUUAAGUCCCGCAACGAGCGCAACCCUCGUUCCAUGUUGCCAGCGCGUAAUGGCGGG